AAGGAUUUAAGUUAAAAAAAACUAUCAACCUUCAAAGUUGAAAAUAUAUAAAAAAAAAAAAAAUUUAAACCUUA
RNAcentral lists this transfer RNA (74 nucleotides) under Ishiharodelphax matsuyamensis. RNAcentral's name for it is "tRNA-Trp". The record is from RNAcentral. Lineage: Eukaryota; Metazoa; Arthropoda; Insecta; Hemiptera; Delphacidae.